This is a long non-coding RNA of Papilio xuthus (Asian swallowtail), 594 nucleotides long. RefSeq lists it as uncharacterized. The transcript is spliced from 3 exons. The record is from RefSeq and is a predicted model, not a curated record. Lineage: Eukaryota; Metazoa; Arthropoda; Insecta; Lepidoptera; Papilionidae.
AAGUGGACUAAUAGAUGCAAAUUAUAACAAGUAGAGAUGAAUGGAAUGAUGUUGGUUGCAUGAAUCUUUGAUGGAAAUUGGUAUAGAUGUAGAGCACAGUCUGGAAGAACUGAUAAGCUACUUAUAACCCCAAAAAUGUGUUCAGUUUCCGGAAGAUAAUUUUCAUUCACAUAUUUACAGCAAUAGUUCAAUACAUCUUAUUAAAAUUUGGCACAGGCUUGUCUUGCGUUGCUGGGUGCCUGCCAAGAUGAGUUUUGAUGUGUAGAUGUAAACAAAAUUGUUCAACAUGUCCGGCGGGGAGCUUGUUGAGAUCGGAUUUAUUUAGUAAAUGGAUAAUUGAAGGGGAGGAGGGACAGGUAGCCUUGACGGUGACAUCGGUAGCUGUUGGCGCUGUUCCCCACCCGCCGCAUCAGAGAUGCUGCUCUUUUUCUGAACCAUGCGGCGAAGCCGUCAACACCAGCAUCAGCAAACAUCCCAGACGCGCUGCAGAAGCGCGGCAACCCCAACAGUGCCCUGAACCCAUUAUUGUAUUGAACCCGCAAGGCAUUGUAAGCCCUUUAACGCUAAUUUAAUAUCUAUUACAACAAAAUAAAA